RNAcentral lists this ribosomal RNA (292 nucleotides) under uncultured bacterium. RNAcentral's name for it is "partial 16S ribosomal RNA". It matches the Rfam family "Bacterial small subunit ribosomal RNA", at positions 505 to 796 of the family's 1533-position model. The record is from RNAcentral.
GUGUCAGCAGCCGCGGUAAGACGAACCGUGCGAACGUUGUUCGGAAUCACUGGGCUUAAAGGGCGCGUAGGCGGGCGAUCAAGUCAGGGGUGAAAUCCUCCGGCUCAACCGGAGAACUGCCUCUGAUACUGGUCAUCUUGAGUGAGGUAGGGGCGUGCGGAACUGAUGGUGGAGCGGUGAAAUGUGUUGAUAUCAUCAGGAACUCCGGUGGCGAAAGCGGCGCGCUGGACCUUAACUGACGCUGAGGCGCGAAAGCCAGGGGAGCGAACGGGAUUAGAAACCCCCGUAGUCC